Small nuclear RNA from Cebus imitator (Panamanian white-faced capuchin), 109 nucleotides. Lineage: Eukaryota; Metazoa; Chordata; Mammalia; Primates; Cebidae. The record is from RefSeq and is a predicted model, not a curated record.
GUGCUCUCUCCAGCAGCACACAAAUACUAACAUUGGACCGAUACAGAAAGAAUUUGCAUGGCACCUGUGCAAGGAUGACAUGGAAAUUCAUGAAGUGUUCCAUUUUUUC